UACGUAGGGUGCAAGCGUUGUCCGGAAUUAUUGGGCGUAAAGAGCUCGUAGGCGGUUUGUCGCGUCUGCUGUGAAAGCCCGAGGCUCAACCUCGGAACUGCCUUCGAUACUGCGGGUCUCGAGUCCGGGAGAGGUGAGUGGAAUUCCUAGUGUAGAGGUGAAAUUCGUAGAUAUUAGGAAGAACACCAGUGGCGAAGGCGGCUCACUGGCCCGGUACUGACGCUGAGGCGCGAAAGCGUGGGGAGCAAACAGG
This 253-nucleotide ribosomal RNA is filed under the name uncultured bacterium. Its description in RNAcentral is "partial 16S ribosomal RNA". It matches the Rfam family "Bacterial small subunit ribosomal RNA", at positions 524 to 776 of the family's 1533-position model. The record is from RNAcentral.